RNAcentral lists this ribosomal RNA (397 nucleotides) under Imbricatea sp. Its description in RNAcentral is "partial small subunit ribosomal RNA". It matches the Rfam family "Eukaryotic small subunit ribosomal RNA", at positions 583 to 975 of the family's 1831-position model. The record is from RNAcentral. Lineage: Eukaryota; Cercozoa; Imbricatea.
UUCCAGCUCCAGUAGCGUAUAUUAAUGUUGUUGCAGUUAAAAAGCUCGUAGUUGGAUUUCUGACUUGACGCGCCUGGCCCGCCUUGCAUUUCGCGGGUGAGUGCCGGAGCGCGUCGGUCAUCCUUCUAGAGAACGGCGCUACCCUUCACUGGGUCGGCGUCGCAAUCUAGAUCUUUUACUUUGAAAAAAUUAGAGUGUUCAAGGCAGGCUCGCGCUGUGAAUACAUUAGCAUGGAAUAAUAAUCUAGGACUUUGUUCCUAUUUUGUUGGUUUCUAGGAAUUAAGUAAUGAUUGAUAGGGAUAGUUGGGGGUGCUAGUAUUCAGCGGCCAGAGGUGAAAUUCUUGGAUUCGCUGAAGACUAACUUAUGCGAAAGCAUUCACCAAGGAUGUCUUCAUCA